Molecule: ribosomal RNA, 537 nt
Filed under: uncultured bacterium
Lineage: Bacteria
Description: partial 16S ribosomal RNA
Rfam family: Bacterial small subunit ribosomal RNA
Source: RNAcentral
GACGAACGCUGGCGGCGUGCCUAAUACAUGCAAGUCGAACGAACUCUGGUCUUUGAUUGACGGUGCUUGCACCUGAUUGAUUAAACAUUUGAGUGAGUGGCGAACUGGUGAGUAACACGUAGGAAACCUGCCCAGAAGCGGGGGAUAACACCUGGAAACAGAUGCUAAUACCGCAUAACAACUUGAACCGCAUGGUUCGAGUUUGAAAGAUGGCUCUGCUAUCACUUCUGGAUGGUCCUGCGGCGUAUUAGCUAGAUGGUGAGGUAACGGCUCACCAUGGCAAUGAUACGUAGCCGACCUGAGAGGGUAAUCGGCCACAUUGGGACUGAGACACGGCCCAAACUCCUACGGGAGGCAGCAGUAGGGAAUCUUCCACAAUGGACGAAAGUCUGAUGGAGCAACGCCGCGUGAGUGAAGAAGGGUUUCGGCUCGUAAAACUCUGUUGUUAGAGAAGAACAUAUCUGAGAGUAACUGUUCAGGUAUUGACGGUAUCUAACCAGAAAGCCACGGCUAACUACGUGCCAGCCGCCGCCGUAA